AUUGAACGCUGGCGGCAUGCCUUACACAUGCAAGUCGAACGGCAGCGCGGGGCAACCUGGCGGCGAGUGGCGAACGGGUGAGUAAUAUAUCGGAACGUGCCCUGGAGUGGGGGAUAACGUAGCGAAAGUUACGCUAAUACCGCAUACGAUCCAAGGAUGAAAGCAGGGGACCUUCGGGCCUUGUGCUCCUGGAGCGGCCGAUAUCUGAUUAGCUAGUUGGUGGGGUAAAAGCCUACCAAGGCGACGAUCAGUAGCUGGUCUGAGAGGACGACCAGCCACACUGGAACUGAGACACGGUCCAGACUCCUACGGGAGGCAGCAGUGGGGAAUUUUGGACAAUGGGGGCAACCCUGAUCCAGCAAUGCCGCGUGUGUGAAGAAGGCCUGGUUGUAAG
This 394-nucleotide ribosomal RNA is filed under the name uncultured bacterium. RNAcentral describes it as "bacterial SSU rRNA". It matches the Rfam family "Bacterial small subunit ribosomal RNA", at positions 30 to 429 of the family's 1533-position model. The record is from RNAcentral.